This 48-nucleotide ribosomal RNA is filed under the name Millerozyma farinosa. RNAcentral describes it as "partial 26S ribosomal RNA". RNAcentral also lists the same sequence under 1 other name. Lineage: Eukaryota; Fungi; Ascomycota; Pichiomycetes; Serinales; Debaryomycetaceae. The record is from RNAcentral.
UUGACCUCAAAUCAGGUAGGAAUACCCGCUGAACUUAAGCAUAUCAAU